UACCAUGUGCACACCCCUUAGGAUCCCAAGUUCUGAGACUAAGGCCUCGGGGUUGAAUCUCAGUUAUAGAGUGUUUAAAACACAAGGUCCUGGCUUCAACCUCCACUACUGGAAAAAAAAAAAAUUACCAAGUUGUGGAUCAACGUGAGGCGAAUUCAUUCAGGAGUUUUCACAGGAGUUGAAGAAUUUCUCAAGUUUUCACUUACGGACGGUGGCCACUCCCACAUCCUCUGCACAUACAUGAGACAUCUUUGAAUGAAAACGAAGGCACUCCCAACAUUCCAUUCGAUGAGAGGGAGAGCUCUCGGCCGAGUGAAAAACGUAUAUUUCCUGCUUGCCAUGAGUUACAUGCAGACAGCUGCAGGCAGGUACAGAUCACAAUGUAACCACUGCAUGUGGGAAGAAAAGCUCCGCCCCCGCCCCCCCCCUCCACACCCAGGACCACAUACCCACUUCUAAUUCUUUUAUUUGGUUUGGCAUCUAUGAAGAGAAGUUAAACUUGAUCCAUACAGGGAAAUAUUAUACAUAUAAGACAGGAAAGCAUUCAGUUGUGAAUAAUGAGCAGGCUGUUAAUUUUGCUGGAAAUAAAAGAAGGCUAAUUUGCCAGUGAAUCUGUACUGGUUUUGCUCUGUCCCAAAGCGUUUAUAUAGCAUUAUCCUCAGGUGCUUCUUUGUUUAUUUGUCAGGUUGAGCAUUUUUGGAAUAGCUUGUGGACUUAAUAAAAAAACUGAUUUUUCUCCCCAACCCCUUCCUUUUUUUUUUUUUUAACCACUUCAAGGAAGGUGUGACUUCAUUUACUGAAUAAUGAGCAUGGAAUACCCCACUUAAUUACUUUCCCAGAUUCUCAUUGUAUCCAUGAAUCGAGGUUUUUUUCAUAAGUAUAAUUAAAACAUUUCCGAGUAGGCAGCAAAGGGAAAAACGGGAUUGAGGACUGGGUAAGCCUUCCUGAAACGAUGGGAAGAAGGCCAAUACUUUAGGCAAGUGCUCUCCCACUGGCCCCAGCCAACAGCACUGACACUUGAAACUAGCUGUCACUCAGGAACAACACAGGCCCUACCCACAGACUGCAGUUAGCAUCUGUAUCAUAAAGGUCAGGAAAAGCCUUCAAGACGAUAAAGAUGGAAAGCUUGAAAACCAGAGAUGAAGCAUAAAUACCAAGCAAGUGACUGACCAUCCUAACAAAGUCCUCUAUGCCAUGAAGCUUUAGUAGUUAAGGGAAUGUGACAUAUGGUCUACAGUUUAAAAACACUUCAUCAGGCAGUAUUGUAUCAAUAUGACUUCGUUUCGUUCUAAACUAGGCCCCAGGGCAGGUGAUUUUUCUAAUUAUAAAUUCAUGCUCCGACACUAGCUAUCGACAACAUUUAACCAACUUUUAGCAAAUUCCAGAGUCAGCUGUAGGUGUCUAGCUGUCCUCUGUCUUUGAACUAGAGGUUUGGAUGGUGUAAGGAAUGUCAAGGAGGGUUUAUUUGUGCAGCCCCAGCAAUCAGAGACAUGUCAAUUGGUAAUAAUAAAUGCUUUAGAGGCCUUUUCAUCUUUUCACGAACGAGAUACAAAGUCUGGUGAGGCCCUGUAGUCUUGAUUUCCCGGUAGCUGCCUGUCUAGGAUAAUGUGAGGAAUAAGGUGCUGCACGAGGGACCAGACUAGGUCCUAGAUGAGAGAAUGAUGCCUGGUGCUUAAAUGUGUAGUCUGUAGCUAGCAUGAAGCCUGUUUGGUUACCAGCAGCUAGCCAUGCUAGCAACAUUGGGACCACGUUUUACUAACUGUUAGCUCUCAGAAUGUAUGGUUGGCCCCGUGGUGGUCUUCUAAUCCUUUAUUCACAUUUCUCGGGAAGGUUCUGACUUCUGGAUCUUGAGGCCCUUUUCUGUCUUCAAACUGGUAUGACCUUUUCUGCAAAGCAGACCCAAGAGAAACUCUUAAGACAAAGAAUGGACUUUAUCCUCCUGCUGAAUGACGAGAGCUUAUCUGGAGUAGAGCGUAGAAAUUUUCACUGCUCAUAAUUGUCAUUAAUUAAUAUGUAUAACCACGCAUACAAAUGCUUUCAAAGUAGUGUCUCAUAAAUGCGAACCUGUACACUAGCAGAUUUUUCUUUCUUAAAACAAUUAUGUACUAGAUUUAAGGAGCUAAAGAGGAUAGCAAUUAACAAAAAAACAAGGUCAGGUCCUGUGUUAAUGCCAAGGUAGAGCUGUCAGUGAGGCCAAUGAGCUCAGAUAUAGUGCCAUAAAAAUUACUAACAUGCAAUGACAUUUUACAGGGAAGGUAACACUAAGAUCUUACAUAAUUCCUGUGCUUAUUUUAAUAACCAUACAAUGAAUAUUUUUUAAGAAGCUACACUCAAAGGUGGUUGAAGGAAUUGUACUCCAGUGGGUAGAUAGAUGGCUUAAUUUUUUUUCUUAUCUUUACAAAUGCUCAAAGAUAUUCUAAAGGCCAAUGCUUUGCUGCAUGAAACAACCAUGCUGCAGAAAAUUACUACUUGCAAUCCAAGCAGUAGGUGCAAUUGGUGAUCAUGCCGUGAAGAAAAAUGCAUAAACGUUGCUGUUUUUUUUUUUCCUUCACCCUGGGAGAGUAAACCCACAUAUUUCAGAAGGAAAGAAAAAUCAAGAAAAGGAUAUCCUCACUGCUUAACAAAAUAGCUGUGAUUCCUAGGGCACAUCCCUGUUCAAUCUCCUUGGAUAGUAUACGUCGCAGGAUAAAUAGGAUGCCAGAGCUGAGGCAGAGUUGUGGGGAUAGAGAAAAUGAGAUUAACGAAAUGUUCUCCGUGGACGCUCCUGUCUGGAUGCCAUGUGUUCCACUAGGAAAGGAUGAACCAAUGUAACGACCAAGAGCCCUCCAGUUCAGCAAUUACAGGACAAAAGGCAUCUAGAGAAUUCAUGCUUGGAGCCAAACCAGAACGCACUUUGCCAUGUGUCAUUCACUAGGGCACUAAAUUCAUAGGCAGUGAUAUUUAAAAAGAGACUUUGAACUGUGGAAAACAGGUAUUAGACAUGCUAUACAAAUAGAUCCUCUGGUAUUUGAAUAUUAUUUAUAGACCAUGAUUUUUGUACACACUAAGUAUGUCAGAGCCUGAAGAGUUGGCUCAGUUAUUCCUGCUGCUCUUGCAGAGGACCCAGGUUUGGUUCCCAGGACCCAUAAGGUGGCUCACUUGUAACUCCAGUCCCGGGGGAUCCAGCACCUUCUUCUGACUUCCAAGGGCACAAGACAUGCGGUACACGUGUGUGUGUGUGUGUGUGUGUGUGUGUGUGUGUGUGUGUGUGUGUGUGUGUGUAUACACAUACAGGCAACACACUCUUGAUAUUUAAAAUGAAAAUAAAAAGCUAAAUGUGUCAUGUGAUGCAUUUUGGAAACUGCACCUGAGGCAGAGGAGCAGAGAGACCAUGGCCUUUGCUCCAGCUGCAUCACAACAGCUACAGUCGGUCGACAACUCUCUCCAGGUCACAGGAGACACUCGCCUGGAUAAACAAUUGUUCAGAGACCAGAAAUGAAUAGAACAAUGUCAUUUAAGGUGGGAAAGAUGGAUCCCAGUCAGCCCACUAACUUACUGUGUGGAAGGAAAUGAAGACAGUUAGCACUGUGGACUGUGAUAGAAAGUUGACAUAGUAAUUUUUUGUUUGCUGUAACUAUUAGUGAAAGACAACCUUCUACAUAUAUGUAUUCAUAUUUUCACUCAAAUUUUCUGGUAAUUAGCUUUUAGAAUAUUUAUAGAAAUCUUCCGUCACAGGUUGGGAAACAAGAUCUGGUUCUUAGCCAUGGGUGGCUUGAGAGGCAUUGGUGUAGACCACGGCUGAAUCGUAAUUAUUUUUGAAAAUCCUAUUUUCAGAGUCCAAGAUCAUCUGUUAACCCUUUUCUUUUUUCCCCCUCAAACAAAGAGUAGGCGGCAUCUGAGAGUUUGAGAUCCGUAAUGAAAUACCAAGCUGAGCCCUCCCGGACAAGGAAGGAACUCAUAAAAAGGAAGUUUUGUGAGUUGUUGAUUGAUUAAUCCUAAAUUCCAGAGUCAAAAAUCUUCAUCUCCUCAUGUCUCCUCUUGGGGGCUUGCUUUUACUUAGCUCUCUUUAAUCCUGUAAUCCAUCCUGUCUUCUGAUUCUUACUCUACAAAAUCAUAGUGGUGUCAGGUUCCAGGAAGAACAUGUGGGUUUCAUUUUGUCAAAAACAACAUUCAGCUUUCUGCUGCUUGGAAUCGUUGAAAUGCAGACUCAAGGCAGAGGGCAGAAACUUGCUCUCACAGGGAGUGUUUUGUUUUGUUUCAGGACAGGGCCUCACUAUGUAACUCAAGUUAGAAUCUAAUUCAUGGUCCUCCUGCCUCAGCCUCCAAAGUACUGAAAUUACAGAUAUGAGGCACCACGUCUGACUUUUAAUGAGCUUUGGAGAACAUUUUUCAUACCUGUCAAAAAUCAUUCUUCCAGUUAAAGUUAUGUAAAAGCUAAAGUUAGCUGGCAUUUCUGAACUGAGUCCAACAGAAAACUAUGUGGAGGGCCUGGGGGAUGCUUAGUGGAUAAAAGCACUUCCUGUGCAAGAAUGAUGACCUGAGUUUGAACCCCAGGACCAUCUUCACACACACACACACACACACACACACACACACACACACACACACACACACACAGAGAGAGAGAACAAACAGAGACAGAGACAGAGAGACAGACACACAGAGAGAGAGAGAGAGAGAGAGAGAGAGAGAGAGAGAGAGAGGAAUAAUAAAUAAAAUAUUUUUUAAGAACAGUGUGAAGACCCUAGGGUAAAGUGUUUGUUUGGAUUUUUUUUUAAUUUGGUUUUUUAUUUCACUGAAUUCUUAAAUGUGCUUAGAUUUGUUUUAUUAAAUUCUUAACUACGAGCUGAAACAAGCUGAAAGCGAGGGCACCCACCUGUCUUUUAAGUGAUGCUAUAACAAAGUCAGGGGUGUGGCUUCAGCCGAGUCAAGCUCUGGUGAAGGGGGACAGAGAGUGAGUCUUUAAAAGGACCCUUUAAUUAGAGCACAGAAUAGUAAAUGUUAAUGGCAUCAUUAGUCAAUAAUUUAGAGAAACAUUGCAUUUUCCUGUAUGACUGUUGAUAAAAUGGGAGCAGAGACUCUGCGGAGAAAACGCCUCAUGCAAAAACCUCCUGAAAAUUGAUAGAUUUUACUUUAAUAAACAGUUCCUCUAAACUAUCCCCAAUUAUAAUUUGGAACAGUAUAAAUUAAAAAAGAAUGUAUGGCAACUAUUCAUUACAUUUCUCGCUGCUUUGACCAGAUGCUGACAAGAAGCAGCUAACGGGAGGGCGGGUUUCUUCUGCCAGGGAAGCCGGGGGGUAGUGGGCUGCUCUGUAGCCGCAAGAGCGCAGAGCAGCUUGGGAGAGGUCAGACCAGCGCAGGCUGUGGCCCAGGACCUCCUCCCCCGGAGGUCUCCACAUUCUGAAGAUCCCAGCAUCUCUCUAAACAGCACCACCAGCUGAAGACUGAAUGUUCAAGUAUAUGAGCCUGUGAGGGACAUUUCACAAAACAGUAAGCUGAUGUUGAAAGAGAUAAGGUGGAGCCAGCAAGGUGUUUGCUGCCAAGUCUGAUGACCUGAGCUUGAACCUGGGGACCUACACCAUGGAAGGAGAGAACUGACUCCCACAAGUUGUCCUUUGAUCUGUGUGUGUGUGCUGUGACACACUUUGUGCCCCCAAAUGAAUAAAUAAUAAAUAAAUACAAUUAAAAAAACAAAGGGGUAGGCACUUUACCGACUAUAUUCAGAAAUACAAAUGCUGCCGAGGACCAAGUAUUGUAGUAGGACUUUCUUGUAGGACUUUCUUUGGAUCACCAGCCCCCAAAUAAUGACAUGGAGACUUAUUAUUAAUUAUGAAAGCUUGGCCUUUAGCUUAGGCUUGUUCCCAACUAGCUCUUAUAACUUAAAUCAACCUGUUUCUAUUAAUCUACCUUCUGUCGUGUGGCUCUUUACCUCUCCUCCAUUCUGUAUGUUCAACUCGCUGUAUGUCUAGCUGGUGUGUCCUGCCUCACCAGAUUCUAAUCCUGAGUUUCUCUCUGCCCCGAAGUCCCACCUAUUCUCUCCUGCCUAGCUAUUGGCCAUUCAGCUCUUUUUUAAAUCAAUCAGGUGCCUUAGGCAGAUGAAGCAAAACAUAGACACAUCUUCAUACCAUGUAAACAAAUAUCCCACAACAAAGUGUAACUCACUGUAUAAAGAUGGUUUAAAGUCUAUAGGAAAAACAGUGCUGUAAAUCAAGUUAAAGAAAACAGGAGAAAGUGCUUAUAAAUGACAGGUGGAGGGAAAGAAUGAGAGAAAGGAGGGAGGAAAAAGGUGAGCAGGCAGGCGAGAAGGAAAGAGGAAUGAGGGAGAAAAAAAUCCAAGGUCAGGUGUGCUGAGGCAGGAAGACUGCCACAGUAUUGAGGCAAGCUUAAGCUACACAGUAAAUGCUACUAUACACGUAGCCAGGGCUACGUAGCAAGACCCUAUCUCCAAAAGCAAAAGUAAAGCAAAAUCACAAGAUUAAAUAAAAAGCAAGACAGGAAAGAAAAAUAGGGAGCAGAGGAGAUUUUAGUUUGACAUUGCAGGGAAGGGGUGCUUUCUUCUAAUACAGUCAGCUUUAUUGAGAUGUGACUUGUACUUAAUAAAGUAUGUACAUUUUAAGUAUACAGUUCCAGAUUUUAACACCUAUUGCAAUGAACAUUUUCAUUGUAUGCAUUAGUGGGUUCACUGUGAUAUUUCCCUACAUGAAUGCACUAUGCAUUGUUUGUAUCAACCCACCUUGCUACUAAUCCUGUAUGUCUCCUCUGCAACUCUUCCAGCCCUUCUUUUACUUUAAGGACAACUUUAAAAAAUAGUUUCUGUACAAAACAUAGAUUGUGUGGCACUUGCCUUUUUGUGUCUUCUUUAUUUUUUGUUUUACUUUUUAAAAUAUAUGUUUAUUUUUAUGCAUAUGAGUGUAUUGCCAGGAUUUAUGUGUGUGCACUACAGGUGUGCCUGGUAGCCACGGAGGCCAGAAGAGGGCAUCAGAUCUCUGGAACUGGAGUUAACAGAUGGUUGUGAGCUACCAUGUAGGUGCUAGGAACCAAACCCAGUUCCUCUGCUGUGGGAUAACUCAGCCCUAACAGGCUGCCUGAGGGCCUUGACAAGGGGUCCGAGUGGUGGUGUGAGAUGACCUGGACCAAUGAGGGAGAGCCACAUCACAUCAACAGAUGCCUACACAACAGACCCCUCCCUGGCAGGAUGGAGGGUAUAUAAGGCUUGCUCCUUCCGGAAUAAAUUGAGCUUGUUGUUUGCUACCUGACUCCCAGAGUCCAUGUCAUUGAUGACACACCUUCUCACCUACCUCCUCCCCUGUAGCCUGAUGCCAUGCCUUCUCACCCCCUCUCCCAAGGGAGCCAUUAGGACCCAGUGACACACUGCAAGAACAGUGAGUGCUCUUAACUGUUGAGCUAUCUCUCUAGGCCCUAUGUCUCAUUUAUUCAGUUCUAUUCAUUUUGCAGCAAAUGACAGAACUUUAGUGUUUGUGUGUGUGUGUGUGUGUGUGUGUGUGUGUGUGUGUGUGUGUCUGUGUGUGUCCACAUUUGUAUUCUUGUGUUUGUGCAGGUGCAUAUGAAUGUGUAUGCUUGCACAUUGUCAAAAGUCAAUGGUGGGUGUGUCUUCCUCAGUUGCUCUCCACCGUAUUCUUUGAGACACUGAACUUGGAGUUUACUGUUCAGCUAGCUAGGUUAUCCAUUAGGCCUCAGGGAUGCAUCCUCCUGUCUUUGCCUCCCCAGCUCUGUGGAGGAGAGAUGCCCCCUUCUUCUGGCUGUGAAACCAGAUGUUUUGUUUCCUUCUGACAUCUAGUGUUCUCCCUUCAUCCAUGACCUCAUUUUACACUGCAGGUUCUUCUUGGUGGAGGAGUAAGUAAAUACUAGGUACCUCUAUUUGGUAAUCCUUCUCUAACAAUUUUAUUAAAUUAAAAAGCAUACCUUUUUAUGAAUUUAUAUGUAAAAAAGCUGAAUGAAAUGGUCAAAAAGAAUCAGUAGUGUUUAUCUCUUAUGACAGUUUUGAGUGUAGAAUUCUACAGUUUGCCACAAUGUAGAACCUGGGGAGGGAGGCUCAAUGAGGGAUUGUCUAGAUUACGUUGACCUGUUGCCAUGCCUGUGAAAGAUUUUCCUAGCUGAGUUUAUUGAAGUGGGAAGACCUGCUGUCUUAGUGUUUUUAUUACUGUGAAGAGACACCAUGACCACUGUAACUCUUAAAAAGUAAACAAUUCAUUGGAGUGGCUUGUUUACUGUUUCAGAGUUUCAGUCCAUUGUCAUCAUGACAGGAUCAUGGCAACGUGCGCCCCAUAGGGACACACUUCCUCCAACAAGGCCACACCUCCUAAUAGUGCCACUCCUUUGGGGGGCCAUUUUCUUUCAAACCACCACACCCAUCUGCUGCAGGUAGCACCAUUCCCUAGGGAGGGGUUUGACUGCAUCAUAGUGGAGAAAGGGAGCGGUGGGUGUGACUAGCUGCUUUAAAUUCUCGCCACUUGGACUUCCCUGCUGUGUUAGACUGUAACCUGAAAUGGCGAGUGAAAACAAUUGCCCCUAACUUACUUUGGGUGGCAGGUGGGUGGCAUUUUAUCACAGCAACAGAAACAAAACUAAGGCAUCUCUGCUCUGGUUGUGUUGGUGGUACUGGUGCUGGUGGUAUGGUAAUGGGUGUGUUGUUUCCCUUUUCAUCUCUCACUUGUGGUUUUUUUCCCCCUUGUUUGAAUUAUUUUCACUUUUCUAAAACAAAAAAAAAAUUAAAAAUAUUAUUGUAUGUACAAUAUUACUAACAUUAUAAAUGGCAGCUAACCUUAUAUACCACAUACAGGAGUAGAAAUUGAAAAGUAUCUCACAGUGUGAUAGUUAAAGAAAAUUUUGAGAGAUUUUUUGCCUAUUCAACUUGGAAACUGCAUUACCUUUUUUUAAAAAAAAAUAUAGUUUAUUCAUUGAUUCUUUGGGAAUUUCACAUCAUGCACCCCGAUUCCACUCAACUCCUUGUCCCCCCACAUCCUCCCCCUGCCGCUGCAGCACCCCCCAUAGAAAAUUUUAAAAAAUCGAAACAAAACAAACCAACAAAAACAAGAACAAAACAGAACAAGCAGAAAAACCUCUUUGCUUUUUCCUUCCCGCCUCUCCAACACUUCAUUUGUCCUGGUGGCAUUGGGAGCUGUGGUGUGUCACACAGUGUACCCUUUUGUCACAUCCUCAUCACUAGCAAAUGUUCAUUGCCAUGAGUCACUGGUCUGGUUCAAGACCUCCAGUUUCUGGUACAUCAUCAUCAUCUGGGAUCUCCCUCGGCCACCCCAGCCACUCAGAGUCAUGGAGAUCCUGCAGGUACUGUUCCACAGGACCAGUCUUUUCAUGAGCUCCAGCAGGUCAUAGAUGGGGUAGAUGUUAGGGUGGGCCAACCCAAGGCCCAGCUGUGGGCCUGGGUGGUAGCUGAGCUGGUCAGUCCAGGCCACUAGGGCCACCUACCUCAGGUAAGGGGGCAAAGCCAGUUCCCCUACACUCAUGCCAUCAAGGUCAGUUCACCCUCACCUGGGGUGAGGAGUGGGGCCAUCUCUCUGGAGUGCAGGUUCCAGCUCUCCCUUGAGGAUCAGGGCCAGCUCUCCAGCUUUCCCUGGGCCAGUAGAGGGCAAGGCCGGCUUAACAUGGCCUUCUGAUUUCAUCACGCACGGUUCCCAUGGCCCCUUGAGGUGACACAGGCCACAGACAUCAAUACAGACCCCAGCCGCUGCUGGACCACGGACCCAGACAUGUCCCUCGGCAGCAGCUUGGGCCCAACUGUAUUGCUUUUUUGGCGACCACUGAAAAUGGAUGUUUAUUCACUAAGGCGUGAAUGCAUUUUCGCUGGUGUACAGUACUAUCAGAUUGCAAUUAGAGCUGACUUCAAUAUUCCCAGUACAAUCAGUUUUGAAGAAGGCCAGGUAGCAGAAGCUUCCCCUCCUCUUCUUGAGUAUACAAUCAGACUUUCUAUCCCACCCUCCCUGCAAUUAGACCCAAGGUCUGAGUCUAGUGAUGCUGUUUCUAAUUCAAGGCUUUCAACAAGCAGGAAUACCCUCUUCACAGCCCCAUUUUCGUCCACUGGUACAUGAAAGACCAAAUGUCUAGUGACUGGCAACAGAUGAUAAACACAGAAGACAAAGUGAACCCUGGUCCCUGACUCACUGUGUAAAUCAUUAUCUACCGCCCAAUAGGAAUACCUGUGUUGGUUUGUUAAGUGUACAAGACAUAAACUAUUUUGGAUAAGUUAUUAUACACUUUUAGAUCUGUUUAUCUGCAGUGUCAUUCAGUUGGAUUGUAACACCCUGAGUAACCAACCCAUGAACUGACUUGGUCACGUACUUAAGUUACUUUUCUUUGCAAGUUAAGCGUGGCUGUGGAAUGUGCUUUCUUCCCGUAGCAUGGCCUGAUAGUGGGUUCAGAUGAGGUACUGCAUCAAAAAGGAGCCGUGCCAGGUAAGCCGUUUGCUGUUUCUCUGUCUCUCUGUCUGUCUACUGGACAUAAAAGGCAGAGCCUUGUGAAUGCCAGAUACACUCUCCUCAUUAGGUCUUAGCUCCCCAGUGCAGCUUGUGAUGGUGAACUUGCAGACAUCUCAGUUUUCUUGUUGAUACUAAAAUUCUUCUUCCAGCUGAGGAUUUUACAGCGUCACCCAGAAUCUGUUUGCCCUCUAUUGUUUUAACUUGAAUUCCCCUAUUUUCCACUGUGACCUGAUGGAAGACAGCGCGUUCAAAUGAGUUCUUUGAAGAGACCAACCAUGUUUCUCGGCUUCUCAUUUUUAUGUUUUGACCUUCUUAGCCUCUAAAGCAUGUAAUCCAAAACUUCAUUACGAUAUAGUCUUUCACACUGGUGCAACUCUUUUAAAAAUUAAUUCAUUUACCCCCCCCCAUGUAUGUGCAUGUGCAUGUGCGUGCGUGUGCACAACUGCAUGAGUCAGUCCUCUCCUCCUUCCAGGUGGGUACCAGGGACUGAACGUGAAUCCUCAGGCUUGGCGGCAAACCACUGAGCCCCUUCUCCAGCCCCUCAACAUCGCCACAUUGUCCUAUCCUCUUUUCUCAGAGCAGCAACCUCAAGUUCACAGGGGCUGUGGAGACGAUGUCCAUGCUUACUUACUCUUCUCCGAGGACUAUCAUGGGGUAUGUGUGUGUGCGGGCAGGGACUGCUGAAGAGGUUGCUGUCCUUGGCCAUUGUCCUUCAGAUAUCUGAGUAUGGCACAGUUGUUUUUCACUAAGCAGUGUAAAUUCCUGACGGGUGGCUGAAGGAGGAAUUAAGUCUGCUCAUAAAUGCUAAUACAUUUCAUUCAGUAUCUCAAACCAGAGAGAUAAGUGUGAUAUCCAAGCCGAAGGUAUUAAACCUGUUUGAAUUUCAUAAGCAUCUCAGAGCAUCAGCCUCUCUGGGGGGUGCUGGUGCAGGCCACGGAGGAAGUCCUGUGGGAGUUCCACACAGCUUAUGUGUCCCAUAAUAAUGAAACCAUCAAGAUGAUGCCAAAGAAGAGCCUUUGGUAACAUAAAAUAUUUGUAUGACAAAUAUUUCAAUGAAAAAGGAAGUUAUAUACACAGUGUGAUCCUGUAUUUGUAAAUAAAAACAUGCUUUGAUGUGUUCAGUAAAUAAACAUUAAGACCCUUCUAUGUAGGUAGCAGACAUUACAGACACUGGUGUGUGUGUUCAUGUUAAAGCAGAUUCUAAUGUUAUUUUACAUUUUCCAGUUUACAAUGAAUAUGUAUUAAUGUAUAAACAAAACAUCACUAUUAGAUUAAGGGUUUUUUUAAUUACAAGAAAAGGCUAAUGUCAUAAUAAUGAGGUUUAAUAAAGUAUGCUGAAGAAGCAUAGGUUAUUCUGGCCCUGUGUUCUGCCGUGACUCACCAAACAUGCCCUGUACUGUUUAUUUCUUGUUCUUCUAUUUCACUAUUAAAAUGAACAGAUGCAUUUCCCAUCACAUGGAGCCCGUGGAAACAUGCCAACCAUUUUCUUAGCAACCGAACUCCUGUCUUGUGCACUGUGCAUGUUAACUAAAACAGCCUGUUGACGGCUUAAAAUAAACCUGCCUUUUUCCAUUUAGCAUUUUAUCAAAUGAAUGGAAUUUUGUUUGCUGAUGAAUUUAGUUCAGCUUCAAGGGGAUUUUUCUCUUCUUCAUGGGGAGGCUGGAGAAUCAGAAUUGUCAUGCCAAGGAAUGAAAAGCAAGCUUAGGGAGAAAAGACAGGCUGACAUUGAUUUAAGUUAUGCUCAUAUCCCCGAGCAGUGGACUCGUUCUUAUGGUUCAGGAAAAAAGAGACUGGACAAUAGGUAAUUUGAGAAGGGAGGAAGGAGGAGUUAUCAGCAGGGUGGAGGGCUGGUAUUUUCAGAUAGAACUGACUCUGCAACUUGGAAUAAAUUGACGUUUUGCUUGAAUAUAAAAAUAAGUCUUAGUCUACAUGUAUAUGUAGACAUCUUGUGUGCAAAGACUAUGGGAAUAUUUCCUAAAUAAGAAAACUCUAAAGUGCCUUUGAAGACUGAAUAACAGAACCACGUCUGUACUUGAGUUAGCAGAGACCUAACAAAGCAAUGGAAAAAAGCUUCACGGAACGCGUGAUGUCCAAGCAGGUUCCCUCUCGUCUCCCGCUGUCUGCUCGUGUGGAAGCGAACAGUUAAAAACCUGCACCAGUGGCAAGCUGCCGCACUGUGGAGAUUUCCACUUUCUUUUCCCUGGAGCAAAUUCCUAACCGUUACCAUCAUCAAGCAAUGAAAAUUGCUGACGUAGCUGUCUAGUUUUACAUUUUCCCCCUGGAAUUAAAGACACAACAAAUGAGAAACACAUUCCUGUUAAAUCCACUUCUUUCUGACUCCUGCUUUACUUGUGUUUUAGGAAAUAGAUAAUUUUCUUGUGUUAUAUUUAACAUUAGGUAAAACUUGUAUAAUAUUGACAGGCAUUUUACAUUAAAUAUUGUAAAAGGGCAAGCUGCUCCCACGUUUUGACAUUCUUUUGUUGAGAGUCAGAAUCCUUUGCUUGCGCUGGUUCCCACACUGGUUAGCAGCUUUGGAAAAUGUCAUCACCUCUGUAGGCUUUGUGUUUGAAAUAGUUAAUAUAUUUUCAAGACUGUCCAAUUUAAUUUUCUUUUUGAGACAAGGCCCUACCUUGUCCAGGUUGGCCUUAGACUCACUAUGUAUUUGAGGCUGGCCUUGAACUCCUGACCCUCCUAUCUCCACAUCCUCCAUCAUGCCUAGCUUAAUUUUUAACUUAAACUUUACCUCAAAUAUCCAACUUUGUAUAUUUGCAGCUAACCUGAUGAGGGCAUUUCUUCCUCUGUGGAAGGAAACGUACCCCCUCUGCUGCUAGCUGCAUAAAGGACACCCAAGCCCACAGUAGGACCUCUCUGUGUGACUCACUGUUCUUCAGAAGGUGCCUGGGGAGGUUUGUGAAUUAUGCCCAGGUGGGCUGAAGGUAGAUGCUGCUUAAAUCCUGCUUAAAACUCUACCGUCCAGCAUCUGAGCAACCUCCGCACCCUGGGACAAAACUCAGCACUUCUGACCGCUGAUUCAUAGUCAUUGAACCCUUCGCUCAUUUAAUAAUAGUCGACAUGGGCACAUAAACCGUACCUGCAGAAGGGACCUUGAUCUUAAACUUAACCGUUUCAUCAUGUUAUAUUUCUCAAUAGAAGCCUUCAAAUACUGACAUGUAGGGUGGUUAUUUUGUGUCGAUGUGUUUGUUAUGGAUGGCCUCAUCCCUACUCAAUGGCCCUAGACUUCAUUCCAAGAGCCCUUGUGCUUGUUAGAAACUAUUGUUCUUUGGAUAAAAUUAUCUUCUUAUUUUAAAACUCAGCGAGCGUAAUACCAAUAAUCGUUUACUGGGGGCAUGCCCCUCAGUGAUUUUGUCUUAAGGUCUAGAGGGAAUUGAUUUUUAAUGUGAGCAUUCAGAUGUAGAAUCGGUUCUUCCUGAUGCCCUGCACUGGAGUGGAGAAGGACAUACCGCAACAGCAUUCAGAAAGAUUAAAUGUCUUAAUUAAUUAGCGAGUGAGGAGUAAGCCUCUCCGAGGUAGGUCCAGAGUAGCACGUGUUGGUGGAACUGUUCUAACCUCUCAACCUGAAAAGACCCAUUGGGAAGGCCAAGUCCAUAGAAGGUAGAGGAAGUGCCCAAGUUUUCUUCAUAGAGUAUCAGCCUUCAGCCUCCCCAGAUAAUUAUGACUUCACUACCUGGAAUCAUUAUUUUCCAUGUUCCAUGUUCUUGCAAUUUCAAGAAAUCCCAGAAACAAUAUUUUUAUAGUGAGACAAGUCCUUUGAAAACUCUGAACUUAAUUGCCUUAAGUACAUAAUAAGAUUGAAAUAUAGAUUCAGCUUCAAUUUAAUGGUCCAGGAUAAAUAAAAUUUGGUUGAAGAAUUUAGAAGUCUGAUUUCUAAUAUGCAAUUGAGAACAUAAAAUAUAAAGACUUGUUAAUAUGACACUGGAAGUUGUUAGGAUAAUUUAAGAAUGGAUCUUUCUGAAUGAAUUGGACAGGCUCUUUGACUUACAAUUUGGGGAUGUGCUACUGUACUUGCACAUAGGGAAUAUCUUGGGGAAAAUGCUUUGCUGUAAGAUUUUCCCCACAUAACUGAAAUAGCCCACUGAGAGUACCCACUGUGAACCUGACAUGGAACAGGCAAUACUUUCUUGGAUCUACAAUAGCAUGACUACCUGAAUAGUUGAGGUAAGGCAGUUGCAUACUUGUAUACAUGGAUAAUAAGGUAGAUAUUGAUACAUACAUACACACACACAUACACACACACAGGCUUCUUAUUUCCAUAUAGAGCAACAUAAACAGAAAUUCAGUUAUUAGGAAAAGAUAUUUUCCUAAGGCAGAACCUGAGGUUUACCGUCUAAUUCAGUAGCUACAGUAAUAUGUAUUUAAAUUUAAAUAUAAAUUUUGCGGGAGGGGAGGAUUCUUUGCUUUUUCGACAGGUUCUCAUGUAUCCCUGUGUAGCUGAGGAUGACUUUGAACUCCUAAUCCUCCAUGCUUCACCUCUCUAGUGCUAGGUUUACAGGUGUUCAUCACCACGACUCAUUUAUACAGUCCAGGCACACUAAGUAAGCAUUCUACCAGCUAAGCACAGCUAAGACCCCGGUAAACUUAAAGCUUAUCAUCUGCUUGGUUUCUCUAGUUUUUUUUUUUUUAAUCAGGUUUCAAAUCUCUAAUUGCCACAUAUAGAGAAUGGCUAUUGAAACAAUAACAUAGACUUAGAAUUCUCCCAUCAUUACAAAAAGUUCUACCGAACAAUGUUGAUUCAGAAGUUAGGGAAAUAUUUUUAAAUGCAUUUAAUUAGAUCUUACUAUUCUUGGUUUAGUUGUUAUGUAACCCUGACUGGUGGGAAUUCAUUAUGUAGACUAGGUUAGCCUCAAAUUCACAGAUAUCCACUUACCUCUGCCUUCCAAGUGCUGGGAUUCAAGGUGUACACCAUGCCCAGCCCUGGAGCUUGUUACUCUUACCCUUACAAUAAAUUUUUCCCUAAACCAAUUUCUGUUGUACAUUACUAAAACCGGGCUAUUUUAUCAUGCUAUCCACAUAGUGAUUCAAUUUCUAAUUAGAAGUUGAUGAAGUCCUUUCAUGCACCACAGUAUCAUUUGCACCACAUUUUCCAGCUGCAUUAAGAAGCUGAAUUAUCUCAUAGAAGAUAACAAAAGACCCAGAAUUACUCAACCGUCUAGAAAAGUAAAUAUAUACGAAGGAUGUAUAUGUGUGUGUGCACAUGUGUGAGCAUGUCCAUGUAUGUUUGUGUGUGUGUGCAUGUUUAUGUAGAUUGCAAACUAAAGUUGAAGACCGUGUGCUUUUGUGAUAUACCAUGAAAUGCUGCCUGUACUCUGCUUAUAUACGUUAUGUCAUCACCAAGAGGCUAGUUAAAUCCAGUGCCCAUCACAAACUUCUGACCUUCACAAAGGAAGCAUUAGAGCGAACCCUUUAAGGAGCUCAGUUGGUCAGUGCACACUGCUCAUGUUUCCUUGGGCAAAUAAAGUUGCUUGGCUAAACCUGCUGCCAAGGGAAUGGGGAAAUAUGAACCCCUCACAAAGAGCAGCAAACACGGAAGACAGUAAUAAAAACUGUCACACACAAAGGCCUUCCAGCAGAUUGCUGUCUAUAUAGGGGUCUCCAAACGAACAGAACAUGUAGGAACAGUAAAGAUAUAGAAGGAAGUAUAUUUAGGGAAUUGUCCUGUGUGGUGAAAAGAGCCAGAACACAGUCUAUCAGGUAGAGACCUGGCCAGGGGUUCCUAUGUGAUGGUAGGUGUUGGGUGAGUCCUGCUGUCUGAAGGUCUGAGACUCAAGAACUCUCAGGGAAGCUUAAGAUGGGAAUGAGAGAAAGUGCCAUCCUUUUGACUUUUCUGCUCCGUUAAGACCUUCAGUGGAUUAGAUGUUGCUGCUUAGUAAGAAAUGGUCUUCAGCCACUGACUCAAAUGCUAGUCCUUUCCAGAUGCACCACUGAGGGACACUCACAGACACAGCCUCACAGGCAAUCUCACAGGUGUGCACACCCACACCCACAAUCACAUCCUCACAGGCACACACACACACACACACACACACACACACACACACACACACACACAUGUUCAAGCUUCACAGAAGCUCCCUUGCAGGCACACUCUCAUACACACAAGCACAUACACUCAGUCCUCACAGAAACUUCCUCACAGACUCUCUCUCUCUCUCUCUCUCUCUCUCUCUCUCUCUCUCUCUCUCUCUCUCUCUCGCUCUCUCUCCUUACAGAAGCUCCCUCAGAGACACAUUCUCAUACACACACACACACACACACACACACACACACACACACACACACACACACAUGCACACACACACACUCACAGGAGCACCUUGUAGAAAUACCUCAUGGGUACCCCCAAGUAGCUUUACUUUAACUUGGUCAUGCUGUGACAUAAAGUUAACCAUCAUGUACUCUCUCUUUUGUGUAUCCUAUUAUAAUGCAGCUGCUUCCUAGAUAGUAUUUUUAUCUCCGACUAGAAAAGGAAGUCUCAUUUUUAGAACAGCUGAGGUGUUUGGUUCUCCCACAUUAUCAGCAACACACUGCUGUGGUUUAGUGUCUGUCACAAGCCUCGGGUCAGCUGCACUGGUUGCCCUGUUGAUGUAUCUACAUCUGUCAAAUGAAUACAGAAUAGAUGUGGUUCUGACUCCGCUUCUUCUAGUCACUCCACACCUCACCAACAGUGAGAUGUCUGCUUUUUUAAAACUUGAGUUUUUUGGUAAGAGGUUUUGUUCCUGGCCAUAGGGCUCAAAAGAGAAUUGACGACCCUGGAAAUCUUUAAGUAAUAGUUAUUCCCUGGGCAUUUCAGAGAAAGAUUUCCUGGUUACUUUAUUCCACAUAGAUGAGUUGAGCUGACGUAAUCUUUUAGAAGAGGCUGGUAUUAGUUGACACGGUGCCCAGGAACCACACCUGUCACACGGGUCUUUUUAUCCCAGUGUUAGAGUUACUAAUACAGCACACAAAGGCGAAAAUGCCUGCUUCAGGUCUCACAGUUCAUACAAGCCAGAGCGAGAGUGGGAGCUUGUCUUCUCCAUCCCAGAUUUACACAUGAAUCAAGUAAGCCUCCUCCUUCUGAUUUCAAUAGUCUUAGGUGAUAUUACUAUAUUUGCCAGUCCAUCUGCCAAAGACAUUACAUACAUUCGCUCAUGUAUCCUUAAAAUCACCCUGUGAAAGAAGUGUUAUUUCUUACUACCCUAGGACUGAAGAGGUAAAGCAUAGAGAAAUAAAUAUGGCACAUGUGUUAUUUUGCUAAAGAGCGUUAUAGCCAGAAUUUGAAGCCUAGUCUGACUGAAGUGCCCCUGUUCACACUGCUUGUCCUCGGUCUUUUACUCUUGCAUCAAAAUUUCAGGUGCCUUGAAAUGAAGAGAGAGACAGUAAACCCAGGAAAGGAAGCAGAAUGACUUGUGAGCCAGUGUGUGGUGCCAGAUAAUUGUCUACAUAUUAAAAUGAGAAUUAGAAAAGAAAAUCACUUAAUCGUGAAAUAAAAAUGGACUCUUGUCCCAGUAGCUCUAUUACUAAUUUUGCUUUUCCGAUCUAAUUUUUGUCUUAAGCAUGCUUAUUUUGAAUCUAAUCCAGUUGAAGCAAGCUUGUAAUUAAAGUGGCAUUUACUACGAUGGACAUUUUUCAUACUGAUUAGAUGGGAAUGUCUAGAGCAGAGAAAGUCCCUCGGGAUCCUGGUACAUGGAGUGUCUUGAUCACGUGGUAGAAACGGGCAGCUGAACUGCCCCUUGUGGGAAGACAGCAUGAGUCACAGGCAUUUUCAGAUGAAAAGCCACAGCAAAGACCAGGGAGUGGAGUUCUCUAAGGGAUGUUCGUGUCAUUAGCUUUUAAUCAGUUGAUCGUGCAAAGAGACCGAGAAAGAAAACGAUUGAGCGAUCCCACGUCUUGAAGCCUGGUUAUAAAACUUGGGAUUCUGUGCCUAUGGUUAUAUGUUUCCAGAAAACUAUCCACUUCCAAGACAUAUUUUUAGCCUAUUAUUUAUUCAGUUCUUUAAAAUAUAUUGAGACUUGGUCUGUGGCCAAAGAUAUAACCUAUCCUGGAAUCAUGUUCCAUGUCCUGAAGAAAUGAAUGUAUUCUCUGCUACUUUGGAUGGAAUGUUCUACAGAUGUGUAUUAGUUCCAUUUGCAGUAUAAUAUGGUUCACCUCAGAUGUGUAUUUGAUUUUUCUGCCUCAAUGAUUGGUCCAUUAAGGAAAGUUAGGGUCUUUAUUAUCUCACUACUAUUGUGUCAGAUAUAUAUUAUAGCUUACAUAUCUAAUAUAUUUUUAGGCCUAAUAAUGUUUGCUUUAAAUACGUGAGUGGUCCCUUGUUGAAUACACACAUAUUUACAACUGUUAUAUCUUCUUGCUAGUUUAUCUUUUUAUCAAUAUGUAAUUACUUUCUGCCUUUCAAUAGUUUUGAUUUAAAGUCUACUUUAUCUGAGUAUAACUACUCCUGCUCACUUUGAAUUUCUAUUUUCAUGAUACGCUUUUUUUCCCCCCAACUUUUCACACAUACUUCAAAUAAACUUUACCAGUGAGGUGUGUUUCUUGUUUGCAGCAAACAGUUGGGUCUUGUGUUUUGGUGUGUGUGUGCCGGGGGUGCAGUCUAUGUCUUUUAUUUGGUACAUUUAAUCUAUAAUUUCCAUUCAAUACUAUUAUUGAUAAAUAAUAUCAAUAAUUUGUUUUUGUUCAUUGUGUUCUGCUUGUUUUGUGUAUUUUUCUUUCUUUUCACCUCUUUUACUAUAUCUGUUAUUUAAUGGUUUUCAUUGUGCUAAAGUUUGUUCUUCUACUGAGUUCUGGGUAAUUUAUGUUCUGUGAUAACAGUUAUCUUUUUGUUUCUAAUGUAAGAUUCUUUUAAGUAUUUUUUUUACAAAAUAUUUUGUUAUUAUUGUGUGUGUAUAUAAUAUGUAUAUAGGGGCAUGCAUGCAUCACAGUAUACAUGUGGAUUCCAAAGGACAACUUUCAGAAUUUGUUUUUUUUUCCUUCUGCUUUAAGUUCUUUGAAUAAAAUUCAUUCCAUUAGUUUUGCAUGCCUGCCUCGAGUAUCUAUUAUAAAGCUGAAUUGUUGGUAAUUCCCUUAGUUUAUCUUAAUCUGAGAAAGACAAUUUCACUUUCAGUUUUUAAGGAUAAUUUUGCUGGACAUAGUAUGCUUUUUUUUUUAAUUUGUGGGAAAACACCGUGUGUUUGUGUGAACAUAUAUGGAAGAUAAAGUGGGGUAUCGGAUUCUUGGAGCUGAAAUUACAAGCAUUUUAGGGACAUCUAACUUGUUACAUGGUGCUGGAAUCAAAAUUAUGGUCCUUGUGAUGUAUGUAGCAAGUACCCUUAACCAAUGAGGAAUCUCUCUAGCCUCCAUAAAGUAAGCUUUUUUUUUUUUCCUAGCAAGAUCUGCUGUAUGGCUAAUGAGCCUUCUCUUAAGUGCGACUUGACACCCCUUGCUGUUUUUAGAGGCUUCUGCUAAAACUUUUGACAUUUUGACUAUAAUGUGCUUUGCUGAAGGUUUGUUUGGGUCUAAUUGGAGGCUUUUGAGAUGCUUAACUCUAUUUACCUGUGUCUCUGAGGAUUUCAGAAGUUUAUGAAACACUUCAGAUUUUCAUUACCUAUUGAAAUUUCAUAGUAUAAAUGAAUAUUUGCUGAAUUAUAUUCCAAAGUUUUUAUAACCUUUAUUCAUGUUUCUUAUAAAAUUUUGCUUUACUAUUUUUCCUAGUCAUUUUUGCCUUAAUACAUCUAUUCAACUAGUUGUAUUUCUUUAAGAAGAAAAAAUAUAAUAGGGAACUUCCAUAACAACUAAGGUUCAGAAAUUAUUUCUUCUGCUUUUUCUAGUUUUUUAUGGAAGUUCUCUAUUAUAUUGUUCAUCUUAAAGGUUUUAUUAUUCUUUUAUUAAUUUGUGUGUAUUCGAGUUUUGCCUGCAUGUGCAUGUGUGCUGUGUGUAUGCAGUGCCUACAGAGACCAGAAGAGGGCAUCAGAUUCCUUUGGACCUGGAGUUUAUAGAUGGUUAUAAGCCACCUUGUGGAUGCUGGGAAUUGAACUUGGACCUUCUGGAAGAACAAGUACUCUUUUUUUUUUUUUUUUUUUUUUUUUUAAAAGAU
This is a long non-coding RNA of Peromyscus californicus insignis, 20496 nucleotides long. RefSeq lists it as uncharacterized. NCBI's taxonomy places the organism in Eukaryota, Metazoa, Chordata, Mammalia, Rodentia, Cricetidae. The transcript is spliced from 6 exons. The record is from RefSeq and is a predicted model, not a curated record.